GGUUGAUCCUGCCAGUAGUCAUAUGCUUGUCCCAAAGAUUAAGCCAUGCAUGUCCAAGUAUAAACCUUUAUACGGUGAAACUGCGAAUGGCUCAUUAUAUCAGUUAUAAUUUAUUUGAUGAUCACUUACUACAUGGAUAACUGUGGUAAUUCUAGAGCUAAUACAUGCAUCAGGCCUAGUCGCAAGAUUAGGUUGUAUUUAUUAGACACAAACCAACGCUGGGUUUCCCAGCAGCCUUGGUGAGUCAUGAUAACUUUGCGGAUCGCAUGGCCUUGAGCCGGCGACGCUUCAUU
RNAcentral lists this ribosomal RNA (293 nucleotides) under uncultured eukaryote. Its description in RNAcentral is "partial 18S ribosomal RNA". It matches the Rfam family "Eukaryotic small subunit ribosomal RNA", at positions 6 to 299 of the family's 1831-position model. The record is from RNAcentral.